UACGUAGGUGGCAAGCGUUGUCCGGAUUUACUGGGCGUAAAGCGCGCGCAGGUGGUUCGUUAAGUCCGAAGUGAAAGCUCCCGGCUCAACUGGGAGAGGUCUUUGGAUACUGGCGGACUCGAGGGAGGCAGAGGAAGGUGGAAUUCCCGGUGUAGUGGUGAAAUGCGUAGAGAUCGGGAGGAACACCAGUGGCGAAGGCGGCCUUCUGGGCCUUUCCUGACGCUGAGGCGCGAAAGCGUGGGGAGCGAACCGGAUUAGAAACC
This 263-nucleotide ribosomal RNA is filed under the name uncultured bacterium. RNAcentral's name for it is "partial 16S ribosomal RNA". It matches the Rfam family "Bacterial small subunit ribosomal RNA", at positions 524 to 786 of the family's 1533-position model. The record is from RNAcentral.